Molecule: transfer RNA, 70 nt
Filed under: Ipomoea nil (Japanese morning glory)
Lineage: Eukaryota; Viridiplantae; Streptophyta; Magnoliopsida; Solanales; Convolvulaceae
Rfam family: tRNA
About the family: Transfer RNA (tRNA) molecules are approximately 80 nucleotides in length.
Source: Rfam by way of RNAcentral
GUCGCUGUAGUAUAGUGGUGAGUAUCCCCGCUGUCACGCGGGAGACUCGGGUUCGAUCCCCGCAACGGUG